Molecule: long non-coding RNA, 881 nt
Organism: Oreochromis niloticus (Nile tilapia)
Lineage: Eukaryota; Metazoa; Chordata; Actinopteri; Cichliformes; Cichlidae
Exons: 2
Source: RefSeq, a predicted model, not a curated record
UGCAAAACUGAAAAGUUCACAGUCUGUUUUUUGCUUAUCUAAUAACAAUCACCUCUCAUGUGCAUGACCUUUUCUGAGAAGCGGGAUCAAUACGGCUUGCCAUGAUGCUGCAAGCAAACCACUGUUUACUUUACCUUAGCGUAUCUUUCAGUCAUUUAAAAAGGUCAACGGACUCUGUUAUUCUGAUGGGGCGAGAACCCUGCCCUUUCCUUUUUGGAUUGAUCUGAAGGGUUCCCGCAAAAUGGACUAUACUCGCUCCUGCUAUCCAUCUUCUCUCUGUCGUUCUGUAUGGAAGGCCAUGUAGCCGUGUGCGUGCGCGGGCACGCGUGUUUGUGCGCAUGGACAAGAGAGUUUGUACAAAGUCUGUGUGCGCAGGAUUUUGGUACAGUUCAUGUACUGAAACACUCUUCAAAGAGAUAGGUCAAAACAGUGUUUUAUCAUCAAGCAGGUUUGGCUCCCCUUUGAAGGUCUAACGAAUUUUUCUUCCAGUCGGGGCCCUCUUUGAGUUUGUGUGCAAAACAUUACAGAGGCAGUUGUUGUGGGGGAAGUGGCAACAGCGGCAGCUAUUGAAGUUUGGGAAGAAUGAAGGCUGAGGAUUAGGGCGUUCAAACAUUGCUGUCCUGUGUGAGCCUUGAUAUGACUGCACCUGGGAACAGGCUGUUCUGCGCUGUUUCUCCUGAGUCCAGGAGCUGUAGCCUACUAUGCUGAUGUUGUGACCCAUAAGUCAAAUGGAGGGGAACGCUUCUGUGAUGACAUCUGGGCACGAUGCUUGGCCAUAUGGUAUUAUGUUUCUUUGGGUUCCUUAUACAAAAACAGCACAUUUAAAUGCUACACGUAGUUGGUGUCUCUGGGACUAUUUAAUAAAAUGCAUUAAUAAAGGA